Molecule: long non-coding RNA, 255 nt
Filed under: Ananas comosus (pineapple)
Lineage: Eukaryota; Viridiplantae; Streptophyta; Magnoliopsida; Poales; Bromeliaceae
Description: long non-coding RNA (ACOM_LNC029755)
Source: RNAcentral
UUAAGGAUUUUAUAGGUUGGCGGAUUUCGUAAAGUUGAAUAGAGUCUUGAAGAGUUGAUUGCAGAAGUUUGAAGAAAAGAUCCAAAUUGAAGAACAAAGACUCAUUCGGAAAGCUCGGCAUCUCAGGUAUGAAGAAUAGAUGAUUUAUGGUGAAGAUGUUUAAUUGUAAUAAGUUCAGAAGGCUUAGAUUGCUUUAAAAUUCUUUUACUGAACUUUUAUGUGUUCUGGGACUAGUCCCUGAGUUGAAGAGACCGG